RNAcentral lists this small RNA (1060 nucleotides) under Pan troglodytes (chimpanzee). Its description in RNAcentral is "retained intron". The record is from RNAcentral. Lineage: Eukaryota; Metazoa; Chordata; Mammalia; Primates; Hominidae.
CACACACACAUCUGCACCUCAACCACAGACUACACUUGCUGAACUGGCUCCUGGGGCCAUGAGGCUGUCACUGCCACUGCUGCUGCUGCUGCUGGGAGCCUGGGCCAUCCCAGGGGGCCUCGGGGACAGGGCGCCACUCACAGCCACAGCCCCACAACUGGAUGAUGAGGAGAUGUACUCAGCCCACAUGCCCGCUCACCUGCGCUGUGAUGCCUGCAGAGCUGUGGCUUACCAGGCCCAUCCUUGAGUCCGGACUCCCUCCCCAAGCCUGACAGGGCGGCUUUGGCUAUGUGUACAUGGUGCAAGUGCACACGUGUGAGCGCCUGCACGUGAGUAUGCGUGUGUCUGGCUUCACACACACACCUGCUGAGCAUGCCUGCGUGCCAGUGUCUCUGUGAGGUGGGGGCCUGGGAGUACUUGUGUGAUUGAAUAUUGGGCUCCAGUUUUUCUUACCUUGCUCUUGUGGUUUAAAAUGGCACGUGCCGGCCGGGCGCGGUGGCUCACGCCUGUAAUCCCAGCACUUUGGGAGGCUGAGCGGGGCCGAUCGCCUGAACUCAGGAGUUCGAGACCAGCCUGGCCAACAUGGUGAAACCCCGUCACUACUGAAAAUACAAAAUUUUAGCCGGGUGUGGUGGCACACACCUGUAGUCCCAGCUACCUGGGAGGCUGAGGGAGAAGAAUCACUUGAACCUGGGAGGUGGAGGCUGCAGUGAGCUGAGAUCGUACCACUGCACUCCAGCCUGGGCGACGAACGGCGUGAGACUCUCUCUAAAUAAAUAAAUAAAUAAAAAUAAAAUGACACUUGCCACUGGGCAGGUGUGCCCUGGAGGAGGGACCCCAGUGCCCAGGCCUCACCUACCACUUCAGCAUUUCUUUCCCAUCCCCCACCCCCAUCCCAGAGAGCUUUGGGGGCUGGGGGAGGGGCCAUGCAACAGCCUCACAGGUGCUUCCUGCUCAAACGGCUCUCUUGCCACUUUAUUCUCCCCAGAGACUCUGCUCCUAUCCUCCCCACCUCCCCCUAACUGAGCAGCAGUCCUGAGGCCCUGCCUCCCAGUCCCUC